GUUGGAAGUUUUGAUAAAGGCAUUUUUUCCUUUUUUUCCUUUCACCUUGCCUUCCUUCACACCCUUCAGCUGUUGUUUUUCUUCUUUGUUGGAAACUAUGAGUUCAAAUGAAUGGCGGUGAUUCAAUCUUGGGACCACGACCAGGAGGAUCAGGUGGAUAUUCAGCAUUAUGUUGGAAGGGGGUCCAGCUCAGAGUAUUGCAGCACAUGAAACUUUAGCUCGACUCUACUUUUUAGCAGAUCUCGUUUUGGAAUUCCUUCUUAGAAUUUUGACCAAGUGUUGCAGCAUAUGCAAGCUUUAGAUGGAUCUGUUUAGUAGUGGAUAUCUUUUUAAAAUUUCUUCUUGUAAAUUUUUGCUAUUUGUUGUAUAUCACAUGUAAGAUUAGCUCGG
RNAcentral lists this long non-coding RNA (390 nucleotides) under Olea europaea subsp. europaea. Lineage: Eukaryota; Viridiplantae; Streptophyta; Magnoliopsida; Lamiales; Oleaceae. The record is from RNAcentral.